CGGGACCCCAGCCGGGGGCGGGCGCGCCGGGAUCCGAAGCUCCGUGACUGAGUUGUUGGGGGUAGGGCCAGCCGAGCGCCAGCCGGGGUGGAUCGGGGAGUACCGGCCGGGGCAGGGCGCGGACACUGGAGACGCAAAGUGCUCUCCCAGGGCGCCGCCGGGUAGAGAACCAAGAGGUCACCAUUCGAUGGACAGAGACUUCACGCACCACGGCCAUAUCUAUCUGGGACCCUUCAUGUUGAGACAGAUCCUGCCGUUGAGACAGAUCGAUUCGGUGGCAAACUCAGCGAGGGGCAGGGAUGAGCACACAGACUAAACCCUCCCUUCCCUUUUUGAAGACAGCGAGAUGGUGGGAAGCCUGACGGCGGGCGCCGUGUGAGUCCCGGACCUGCCGCUUCCGGCUCGACGACCCUGGGCCGGCUACCGGCGCU
Molecule: long non-coding RNA, 431 nt
Filed under: Felis catus (domestic cat)
Lineage: Eukaryota; Metazoa; Chordata; Mammalia; Carnivora; Felidae
Description: lncRNA (ENSFCAG00000041809.2)
Source: RNAcentral